Long non-coding RNA from Lutra lutra (Eurasian river otter), 690 nucleotides. RefSeq lists it as uncharacterized. The record is from RefSeq and is a predicted model, not a curated record. Lineage: Eukaryota; Metazoa; Chordata; Mammalia; Carnivora; Mustelidae. The transcript is spliced from 3 exons.
CUUCCAGCAAGUUCUGAGGAGAGAGUGGGCAUGGGGUGGGUGGGGCUUAGCUAGACUUUCCAUGUUCAUGCUCAAGAAACAGAGCGUGUUUGCAGAUAUGCACGGAGAAACACGGCAGAAAGUAACCUUCGGCACAUGUGUCCGAGCAGCCCCACUUCUAUCAUGAACUUCUGCCUCUCACCGCCCCGGGAUGGAGCCCCAGGAGCUGAAUGGGGCUGGUGUCCAGUGCCCAUCUCUCCUCCCGUGGCCCCGCUGGGUAUUCCUGGGCACCCCCCACCCUGUCCCAGUAGCUAUGGGUCCGGGGGCCACAGCCAUCCAUUCAGAGAGGGUCCAGGGGCUUCCUCUCUGAGGGUCCAUGGGGGGGUUGCCACUCCCUGCCUCCACCCCAGGCACUGGCAGGAAGGGGCUGGACACCAGCAUUCUGGGGGGCCCUGGACCCUGCUGGGGUGUGGUCUCCACACUGGCUCCUGGAGCAAGGUGCCAGCUCUCUCCUCACCGGGGAACAGGGCGGACCUGCUCUGCUCACCUGGGAAAUGCGGGAGAUUGGGCCACCACUGGCUGCGCGGCACAUUCAGAGCCCUAACAAAGCUGGCGACAAUCGACCGGGCCUGCCAUUAUCCAUUCAGUGGGUGUAAUAAAUGAGCCGGGCCCAGCCUGCCAUAUACCACCCGGCCCAGAUAACGGCUGAAA